Molecule: ribosomal RNA, 238 nt
Filed under: uncultured bacterium
Lineage: Bacteria
Description: partial 16S ribosomal RNA
Rfam family: Bacterial small subunit ribosomal RNA
Source: RNAcentral
GAUCAUGGCUCAGGAUGAACGCUAGCUACAGGCUUAACACAUGCAAGUCGAGGGGCAGCAUGAACUUGGCUUGCUAAGUUUGAUGGCGACCGGCGCACGGGUGAGUAACACGUAUCCAACCUGCCGAUGACUCGGGGAUAGCCUUUCGAAAGAAAGAUUAAUACCCGAUGGCAUAGUUCUUCCGCAUGGUAGAACUAUUAAAGAAUUUCGGCCAUCGAUGGGGAUGCGUUCCAUUAGG